This 1384-nucleotide ribosomal RNA is filed under the name uncultured bacterium. RNAcentral's name for it is "bacterial SSU rRNA". It matches the Rfam family "Bacterial small subunit ribosomal RNA". The record is from RNAcentral.
GAAUUCGCCCUUAGAGUUUGAUCCUGGCUCAGGACGAACGCUGGCGGCGUGCCUAACACAUGCAAGUCGAGCGAGUGGAGUUCUUCGGAACAAAGCUAGCGGCGGACGGGUGAGUAACACGUGGGCAACCUGCCUCAUAGAGGGGAAUAGCCUCCCGAAAGGGAGAUUAAUACCGCAUAAGAUUGUAGCUUCGCAUGAAGUAGCAAUUAAAGGAGUAAUCCGCUAUGAGAUGGGCCCGCGGCGCAUUAGCUAGUUGGUGAGGUAACGGCUCACCAAGGCGACGAUGCGUAGCCGACCUGAGAGGGUGAUCGGCCACAUUGGGACUGAGACACGGCCCAGACUCCUACGGGAGGCAGCAGUGGGGAAUAUUGCACAAUGGGGGAAACCCUGAUGCAGCAACGCCGCGUGAGUGAUGACGGCCUUCGGGUUGUAAAGCUCUGUCUUCAGGGACGAUAAUGACGGUACCUGAGGAGGAAGCCACGGCUAACUACGUGCCAGCAGCCGCGGUAAUACGUAGGUGGCGAGCGUUGUCCGGAUUUACUGGGCGUAAAGGGAGCGUAGGCGGACUUUUAAGUGAGAUGUGAAAUACCCGGGCUCAACUUGGGUGCUGCAUUUCAAACUGGAAGUCUAGAGUGCAGGAGAGGAGAAUGGAAUUCCUAGUGUAGCGGUGAAAUGCGUAGAGAUUAGGAAGAACACCAGUGGCGAAGGCGAUUCUCUGGACUGUAACUGACGCUGAGGCUCGAAAGCGUGGGGAGCAAACAGGAUUAGAUACCCUGGUAGGUCCACGCCGUAAACGAUGAAUACUAGGUGUAGGGGUUGUCAUGACCUUUGUGCCGCCGCUAACGCAUUAAGUAUUCCGCCUGGGGAGUACGGUCGCAAGAUUAAAACUCAAAGGAAUGGACGGGGGCCCGCACAAGCAGCGGAGCAUGUGGUUUAAUUUGAAGCAACGCGAAGAACCUUACCUAGACUUGACAUCUCCUGCAUUACCCUUAAUCGGGGAAGUUCCUUCGGGGACAGGAAGACAGGUGGUGCAUGGUUGUCGUCAGCUCGUGUCGUGAGAUGUUGGGUUAAGUCCCGCAACGAGCGCAACCCUUAUUGUUAGUUGCUACCAUUUAGUUGAGCACUCUAGCGAGACUGCCCGGGUUAACCGGGAGGAAGGUGGGGAUGACGUCAAAUCAUCAUGCCCCUUAUGUCUAGGGCUACACACGUGCUACAAUGGCAAGUACAAAGAGAAGCAAGACCGCGAGGUGGAGCAAAACUCAAAAACUUGUCUCAGUUCGGAUUGUAGGCUGAAACUCGCCUACAUGAAGCUGGAGUUGCUAGUAAUCGCGAAUCAGCAUGUCGCGGUGAAUACGUUCCCGGGCCUUGCACACACCGCCCGUCA